Molecule: ribosomal RNA, 675 nt
Filed under: Escherichia coli
Lineage: Bacteria; Pseudomonadati; Pseudomonadota; Gammaproteobacteria; Enterobacterales; Enterobacteriaceae
Description: partial 23S ribosomal RNA
Rfam family: Bacterial large subunit ribosomal RNA
Source: RNAcentral
UUGAGCCUUGAUGUGUAGGAUAGGUGGGAGGCUUUGAAGUGUGGACGCCAGUCUGCAUGGAGCCGACCUUGAAAUACCACCCUUUAAUGUUUGAUGUUCUAACGUUGACCCGUAAUCCGGGUUGCGGACAGUGUCUGGUGGGUAGUUUGACUGGGGCGGUCUCCUCCUAAAGAGUAACGGAGGAGCACGAAGGUUGGCUAAUCCUGGUCGGACAUCAGGAGGUUAGUGCAAUGGCAUAAGCCAGCUUGACUGCGAGCGUGACGGCGCGAGCAGGUGCGAAAGCAGGUCAUAGUGAUCCGGUGGUUCUGAAUGGAAGGGCCAUCGCUCAACGGAUAAAAGGUACUCCGGGGAUAACAGGCUGAUACCGCCCAAGAGUUCAUAUCGACGGCGGUGUUUGGCACCUCGAUGUCGGCUCAUCACAUCCUGGGGCUGAAGUAGGUCCCAAGGGUAUGGCUGUUCGCCAUUUAAAGUGGUACGCGAGCUGGGUUUAGAACGUCGUGAGACAGUUCGGUCCCUAUCUGCCGUGGGCGCUGGAGAACUGAGGGGGGCUGCUCCUAGUACGAGAGGACCGGAGUGGACGCAUCACUGGUGUUCGGGUUGUCAUGCCAAUGGCACUGCCCGGUAGCUAAAUGCGGAAGAGAUAAGUGCUGAAAGCAUCUAAGCACGAAACUUGCC